CUUUCUUGAUACAACAUCUAUAGCACAGACAACAAAAGCAAGAAUAGAUAAUGGACAACAUCUGCCCAUACUACAGAAGGGGACAAAAAUCAGCGCAGGAGACAACCUGUAGAUGUGAGGAAACACUUGAAUCUGAAUUUCCAAAAUAUAUAAGAAUGUCCUAGAGUUUAAUGGGAAAAAUGUUACCAAUCCAGUGAAACUAUGGCCCAAAAGCUGAGAGAGACAUCUCUGGAAGGAGGGCUGUCUGUUUAUGAUUGUAAGCAUCCCCCAGGAAAGGCAUGGGUGUGAGCAAUGCAAUGGUGCCCAAUGACUUUCCCCAGGGACCUGAGGUCUGAUCCCUAGCCAAUGGGGACCUUGAUUACAAUGAUCAAUUUCAUGGUAAAAUUUAAAAAUUUGCCAUAAUAAGUAUACAUAAGUUAUUUGAGUUGGAAUUCUUGGGUUAAAGGAAAGUGUGCACUACAAAUUUUGGUAUAUAUUUUAAGCUGCUCUGCAGAAGGGUUAUGACAACUUUUCAUUGCAAUUAUCAGAGCAUGACAAUUCCAUUUUCCAACACUGUCAACAUUAGGUUUUCUCAUUCUCUUUAUUCUUUUUAUGUGAUAUGCACACACACAAAUGUACUUUAUAUAUUCUUUGGAUUACUCUAUUGACAUGAAAUGCCAUCUCAAGUGUAUGGUAUGUGCUAUUUUAUAAACAGCCUACAUUUGUCUUUUCCCAUUUUUAUUAAGGUGUUUGUUUCUUUUUCUUGAAUUUUAUGAGCUCCGUAUAUGAUUAACCUCUAGUGAGCUGUUCAGAAACCCAAAGGAACAUCAUCAAAAUACUGUUUUCUACCAACUGGGAACAAUUUUGCCUCAUGUAGAGAGCCCUUUGCCAGCUUGGGAAUUCUGGUUCUAUUUCCAAAUUUCAGAUGUGAAAUCAAAUUUUUCAGAUGGGGCAUUCUGGUGAAUAUGAUUGAUACUGGUGAAAGUCAGG
RNAcentral lists this long non-coding RNA (969 nucleotides) under Marmota monax (woodchuck). The record is from RNAcentral. Lineage: Eukaryota; Metazoa; Chordata; Mammalia; Rodentia; Sciuridae.